GGAGACCUCAAGCCACGUUGGUAUGACUGCAGUUUGUGUGGGAGAAGGCUUCUGUCAUGCAGUGAAGAUGAAAGUCAAGUGGUAUCUACUAAAUGGACAGUUAGACCCUGUGCUGGAUCCACAUUGACAGAUACUGGAAAAGACAGCAUCUGUUCCCUCUAUCAGGUUAUGCUUUGGCAUUCCUUCCACCCAGGUGAUUCUGGUGACCAGAGCAUAGAGCCAUGGAAGUUGACCAUCCCAUGAUGAAGAAGCUCUGGAAGAGUCCCUGAGCUCUACUGCCUAAUCAGACCACUGCCUAAUCAGAGAAGAAAGAAGGCUGAAUCUUGUACAAAUGGCUGGAAGAAUCCAGGAUGAGAGGCAUAAAUAGUGCCAGCUUGGGAGAAAAGCCUUAUACUUGCAGUUAGUUUUUCAGUGUAGAUGACAGCCUGCUUGCUUUCAGUUCUUAUCAUCAUGCCAAAAGCUGUCUUGAAUUAUGCAGCUUUUGUAGAACUCCUUGAAAUGUGUUUAUAUAAGAAGAAACCGUAAAAAUUGAAGUGAAAGGACCGAAUCCUGCACUGCACUUGCCCUCCAUUGACAAGACCCGCAGGACCACACCAGUGCAGAACUCACACCCUGCAGUGCCUUCCUCUGUGCAGCAACAAGAAGCUUCACCACUUCUUGCUGCUUCAGAAACAGAGGAGAAAACUUGGCCUCAUGAACGUGGCUGUCCCUGAUUUCUCAGACAGACGCAAUGUAUAUUUGCAAAGAGUGUUCCCUCCUCUGGCCAUCCAAGCACGGUGUCUGAGGGAGUGUUUAUAUCCGGAUGCAUGAGAUCAAAGAAUCGGGCAAACAAAG
Molecule: long non-coding RNA, 834 nt
Filed under: Gallus gallus (chicken)
Lineage: Eukaryota; Metazoa; Chordata; Aves; Galliformes; Phasianidae
Description: lncRNA (ENSGALG00010004280.1)
Source: RNAcentral